RNAcentral lists this ribosomal RNA (253 nucleotides) under uncultured bacterium. Its description in RNAcentral is "partial 16S ribosomal RNA". It matches the Rfam family "Bacterial small subunit ribosomal RNA", at positions 524 to 776 of the family's 1533-position model. The record is from RNAcentral.
UACAGAGGCCCCAAGCGUUAGGCGGAAUCACUGGGCUUAAAGCGUGUGUAGGCGGACGCCUAAGUGUCUUGUGAAAUCCCACGGCUCACCCGUGGAACUGCUGGGCAUACUGGGCGUCUUGGGCCAACUAGGGGCAGCCGGAACAAGCGGUGGAGCGGUGAAAUGCGUAGAUAUCAGUCGGAACACCGGUGGCGAAGGCGGCUUCUUGGGCCGUUCCUGACGCUGAUGCGCGAAAGCUGGGGGAGCGAACGGG